CCUACGGGAGGCAGCAGUGGGGAAUAUUGGGCAAUGGGCGCAAGCCUGACCCAGCAACGCCGCGUGAAGGAAGAAGGCUCUCGGGUUGUAAACUUCUUUUAUCAGGGACGAAGCAAGUGACGGUACCUGAUGAAUAAGCCACGGCUAACUACGUGCCAGCAGCCGCGGUAAUACGUAGGUGGCAAGCGUUAUCCGGAUUUACUGGGUGUAAAGGGCGUGUAGGCGGGAAAGCAAGUCAGAUGUGAAAACCAUGGGCUCAACCUGUGGCCUGCAUUUGAAACUGUUUUUCUUGAGUACUGGAGAGGAUAGUGGAAUUCCUAGUGUAGCGGUGGAAUGCGUAGAUAUUAGGAGGAACAUCAGUGGCGAAGGCGACUAUCUGGACAGCAACUGACACUGAGGCACGAAAGCGUGGGGAGCAAACAGGAUUAGAUACCCGAGUAGUC
RNAcentral lists this ribosomal RNA (443 nucleotides) under uncultured bacterium. RNAcentral's name for it is "partial 16S ribosomal RNA". It matches the Rfam family "Bacterial small subunit ribosomal RNA", at positions 338 to 795 of the family's 1533-position model. The record is from RNAcentral.